This 447-nucleotide long non-coding RNA is filed under the name Rattus norvegicus (Norway rat). Its description in RNAcentral is "long non-coding RNA NONRATT015668". Lineage: Eukaryota; Metazoa; Chordata; Mammalia; Rodentia; Muridae. The record is from RNAcentral.
AUAUUUGAAUGGUGGUACUUUCAUAAACAUGGCACAUCUUUUAUUGAACAAGUGUCUAUAAGCCAUUUGCGGCCACUGAUGGGAGGAACAGAGAGUAGCAUUUCAGAGCCGGGCUCUCCUGCCAACAGCAGAGAAAGCGAAACCCUUAGACAUCACCAUCUAUCAGAAUGUAAGGUCUGGAGAAACCCUUUAAACCUCUUUAGAGGAGCAGAAUAUAGAAGAUAUACUUGGGUGACUGGGAAAGAGCCACUUACUUACUAUGACAUGAACUUGUCUGCCCAGGAUCACCAGACCUUUUUCACCUGUGAAACAGACUUUUUACGUCCUUCAGACACAGUUAUGCAGAAGGCAUGGAGGGAAAGAAAUCCUCCAGCUCGAAUCAAAGCAGCCUACCAAGCUUUAGAGUUAAACAAUGAGUAAGUUGGAAAAAUAAAUUUGUUUUAAAGG